Molecule: unclassified non-coding RNA, 924 nt
Filed under: Hevea brasiliensis (rubber tree)
Lineage: Eukaryota; Viridiplantae; Streptophyta; Magnoliopsida; Malpighiales; Euphorbiaceae
Source: RNAcentral
UAUGCUCCAGCUAAUUAAUCACUGCCAAACAUUCCGUUUAUUUUAUUUUGUUAAAGUAGAAAGUUGGCCACGAUUCACCAUUGAAGGGUUGCCAGUGGACCUCGCUUUCAUUGCCAAUCACUUCCCAAAGAAUCAACUCCUUUUUCUUCAGUAUUAAUCUUCGUUGCUUUUUUUUUUAAUAUGCUAAUUGCAUGAAAAGCUCAUAUGCCAAAAAUAUAGAAAUGGGUAUAAAACCUGCACAGAAAGGGAAGCUCACAAAGAAUUUCACCCAACAAAACACACAACCCAAGCCCACAACAUCAACCCAGCCCCAAAUCUAGAACCCUAGGUGAAAUAGGAUGAGCUAGGAACAAGGAGAAGUGCUGAUUGAUUACCACCCCCUACAGUUACAGAGCAGACCGAAGCCGAACACCAUUUAGCAAUGCAAAGGGUACAAAUUGCCCAUCCACUCACCGCACUUCAAUGGAGAAAACAUAUGCUUCCCAAAUUCUGCAAAUAGGACAUGCAAACCACUAUACAUGGAAGAGAGGUGCUGCUGCAAAGUUCUGGCACACCAUGUUUACGGGAUGGCCUUUCUAGCCGUGUUGUAAAAACGAAUCCCGGAGAUGCUGAUGGCAAAAGCAAAGGAACCUCCUCACAUGAAUAACAACCCACAAAGGACAAAGAAGAAGAUAGAGACCCAACAAAUAGGAAACAAAGCUUCCUCCAAGGAACCAUUCACCAAAUCCUUUUCAUCCAACACUAACACAAUAGCUCAUACACUACAGGUUUCAAAACAAGCCCUCACAUUAAAAUUAUACUCGCAUUCAGAGAGGAGAAAGACUAACGCAUAAAACCAUAUACAACCAAACCUAAUGACAGGAGUACAACCAAACCUAAUGACAGGAGGACGAUCUACUACACCUGGACAGGGAACCAACUAAA